This 301-nucleotide unclassified non-coding RNA is filed under the name Arthrobacter sp. UMCV2. RNAcentral describes it as "partial 16S-23S ribosomal RNA intergenic spacer". The record is from RNAcentral. Lineage: Bacteria; Bacillati; Actinomycetota; Actinomycetes; Micrococcales; Micrococcaceae.
UUGCAGGAGUUAGCCCAUAGCGCGGGCGUUUGUUCCGCGGUGGGUGCUCAUGGGUGGAAUAUCAACGGAUAGGUCCCUGGUGGGUCCUGGUGGCAUUCGAGUACGAGCCGGCGUGUCUGUCGUGUCUCCUCCUUCGUGGAGGGGGUGUGUGGGUGCGGUGGUUGUGGAAAGGGUGGUGUCGGGGGUUGUCGGGCGGUGUUUGGCACACUGUUGGGUCCUGAGAUAACAGGGCUCUUGUUCUGCGUGUCCUUGUAGGGGUGCUUGUUCCGGGUGUCGGUGAUUCGUCGCUGAUGUCCGGGGU